Molecule: ribosomal RNA, 55 nt
Filed under: Coprinopsis cinerea
Lineage: Eukaryota; Fungi; Basidiomycota; Agaricomycetes; Agaricales; Psathyrellaceae
Description: partial 18S ribosomal RNA
Rfam family: Eukaryotic small subunit ribosomal RNA
Source: RNAcentral
GGAAGUAAAAGUCGUAACAAGGUUUCCGUAGGUGGAACCUGCGGAAGGAUCAUCA